UACGUAGGGAGCAAGCGUUGUCCGGAAUCAUUGGGCGUAAAGCGCGCGUAGGCGGCCCUGUAAGUCCGCUGUGAAAGUCAAAGGCUCAACCUUUGAAAGCCGGUGGAUACUGCAGGGCUAGAGUCCGGAAGAGGCGAGUGGAAUUCCUGGUGUAGCGGUGGAAUGCGCAGAUAUCAGGAGGAACACCAGUGGCGAAGGCGGUUCUCUGGGCAUUACCUGACGCUGAGGGGCGAAAGUGUGGGGAGCGAACAGG
RNAcentral lists this ribosomal RNA (253 nucleotides) under uncultured bacterium. Its description in RNAcentral is "partial 16S ribosomal RNA". It matches the Rfam family "Bacterial small subunit ribosomal RNA", at positions 524 to 776 of the family's 1533-position model. The record is from RNAcentral.